UCAACCCCCAGCCCCCUCCCCUUCUCAUAUACCUCACUCACACACACACUCCUCACACUCACAGGACUACCAUUCCAAGACCAGUCACCAUGGCCGACAAGAAAGGUGAUACUGCCAACAGCAAACCGAUGGUUAGGAAGAAAGAGAGGACAACAAAGACAGCGGUGGAGAUCAAGAAACAGGUGAAGACGGAGAUGAAGAGGGAGGUGAAGUCAAGUUUAGUGAAGAAAGAGGAAAAGGUCCUGGUGUUUGGGGAGAAGGUGGAGGGGAACGGAGAGGUCCCAAUGGAGGAGGGAGCCACAGCUAAUAAAGACAUGGCUAACGGGGCGGUGGAGCCUAACGCAGCAGAUGGAGAGUAUGAACCCAUUGAGCUUCCUCCUUGGGAGAUCAUGGAAGGGGACCGCAUCGACCCGUUCCAAUUCAAGUUCCAGUUCAAGAAUGUGGAGUACUCGUCAGGUCGGAACAAGACGUUCCUGUGUUACCUGGUGGACAAGGGGAAAGCUGAUGAUGGUCUGAUGAGAGGUUACCUGGAGGAUGAACACUCAGGAGCCCACGCUGAGCAGGCCUUCUUUCUCAAGACUCUCCCAGACUACGACCUUGCUGUCAAAUACACUGUCACCUGGUACAUGUCAUCCAGCCCCUGUGCGGCCUGCGCGGCUAAGAUCGCAGAGGCCCUCCGGGCAAGGAAGACCAUCAAGAUGACCCUAUUUUCAGCCCGGCUGUUUGAGUGGGAGGAGCAAGAGAUCCAAGCGGGGCUAAAUGCUCUGUCUCAAGCGGGCUGUAAGCUGAGGAUGAUGAAGCCCAUGGACUUCACCUACGUCUGGGACACUUUUGUAGAGAACAACGACCUAACGUUCACCCUCUGGGAGGACUGCCAGGACAACUAUGAGUACUACCACGAGAAACUGGCCGAAAUCAUGCAGUGAUCACAGUGAGUGUAUGCCGGGAUGCACAUAGACACCUGCAGUCACAAGACUGAUCCCAGAGAUGAUCUCACAGAUGGAACACACAAAGCCAGUGAGGGGCCAGCCCAAUAGGCCAGAGCAGUAAAGCGAACGAGGGUGACCCCAGUGAGACCAACAGAUACAGCUAUUCCCCUGGCUGAUGAACUGCUGCAUAAUGAGGGCAGCUGCUGACAUUCAGGAGGAAUGGUGCUGAAGACUGGAGGCUCACCUUCAAUCCUGGGGUUCUGCUCCUCAGAGAACGUCUUAGUGCUCUAUUCAGUCUGUGUUGCAGCAUUACAGAUAACACAAUAGAAAUGUAAAGAAUUCACCCAUCACCUGCCACCUCCACUAUCCCAGCAUCCUCAGUGAUGUGAGCAGUUUGGGUGCUUGUGCGUCAAGCCAUUCUGCUCUACACCCCUCUAUGAAGCCAGCUACAGACCUCCCCUCCAUAUGGAACUCUCUGUCGCAGCUUCCAUUUUCCGUUCUGGAGUUGUUCUCACAGGACGCGUGUUUGCUGGUUCAUCUGUGGAUUAAUUGUCAAUGUCAAGAUGAAGGCUUUGCAAUGAUGCACUCCUGGGUUAUAAUUAAAGUAUAAAUGAUCUAUUAUUUUUUAUUACAAUUGAAGUUAUAAUAAUU
Non-coding RNA from Oncorhynchus mykiss (rainbow trout), 1580 nucleotides. The record is from RefSeq and is a predicted model, not a curated record. NCBI's taxonomy places the organism in Eukaryota, Metazoa, Chordata, Actinopteri, Salmoniformes, Salmonidae.